This 482-nucleotide ribosomal RNA is filed under the name uncultured bacterium. RNAcentral's name for it is "bacterial SSU rRNA". It matches the Rfam family "Bacterial small subunit ribosomal RNA", at positions 28 to 521 of the family's 1533-position model. The record is from RNAcentral.
GAUGAACGCUAGCGGCAGGCUUAAUACAUGCAAGUCAAGGGGGUAGCAAUACAACCGGCGCACGGGUGAGUAACACGUACACAACAUACCAUAUACUGAGGUAUAGCUUCGGGAAACUGAAGGUAAUCCCUCAUAGUAUUGUGAAAGGGCAUCUUUUUACAAUUAAAGUUUCGACGGUAUAUGAUUGGUGUGCGUUUGAUUAGCUAGUUGGUAGGGUAACGGCCUACCAAGGCAACGAUCAAUAGCUGGCGUGAGAGCGCGACCAGCCACACUGGAACUGAGACACGGUCCAGACUCCUACGGGAGGCAGCAGUAGGGAAUAUUGGACAAUGGGCGAAAGCCUGAUCCAGCCGUGCCGCGUGAUAGAUGAAGGCCCUCUGGGUUGUAAAUAUCUUUUAUCUGGGAAGAAACACUUCUAUUCUUAGAAGCUUGACGGUACCAGAGGAAUAAGCACCGGCUAACUCCGUGCCAGCAGCCGCGGU